GGUUUCGUGGUGUAGUGGUUAUCACGUCUGCUUCACACGCAGAAGGUCGCGAGUUCGAACCUCGCCGAAACCU
Molecule: transfer RNA, 73 nt
Filed under: Mizuhopecten yessoensis (Yesso scallop)
Lineage: Eukaryota; Metazoa; Mollusca; Bivalvia; Pectinida; Pectinidae
Also listed under: 1 other name
Description: tRNA-Val
Rfam family: tRNA
About the family: Transfer RNA (tRNA) molecules are approximately 80 nucleotides in length. Their secondary structure includes four short double-helical elements and three loops (D, anti-codon, and T loops). Further hydrogen bonds mediate the characteristic L-shaped molecular structure. tRNAs have two regions of fundamental functional importance: the anti-codon, which is responsible for specific mRNA codon recognition, and the 3' end, to which the tRNAs corresponding amino acid is attached (by aminoacyl-tRNA synthetases). tRNAs cope with the degeneracy of the genetic code in two manners: having more than one tRNA (with a specific anti-codon) for a particular amino acid; and 'wobble' base-pairing, i.e. permitting non-standard base-pairing at the 3rd anti-codon position.
Source: Rfam by way of RNAcentral